UACGUAGGGUGCGAGCGUUAAUCGGAAUUACUGGGCGUAAAGCGUGCGCAGGCGGUUUUGUAAGCCAGAUGUGAAAUCCCCGGGCUUAACCUGGGAACUGCAUUUGGGACUGCAAGGCUGGAGUACGGCAGAGGGAGGUGGAAUUCCACGUGUAGCAGUGAAAUGCGUAGAGAUGUGGAGGGACACCGAUGGCGAAGGCAGCCUCCUGGGCUAGUACUGACGCUCAUGCACGAAAGCGUGGGGAGCAAACAGG
RNAcentral lists this ribosomal RNA (253 nucleotides) under uncultured bacterium. RNAcentral describes it as "partial 16S ribosomal RNA". It matches the Rfam family "Bacterial small subunit ribosomal RNA", at positions 524 to 776 of the family's 1533-position model. The record is from RNAcentral.